RNAcentral lists this ribosomal RNA (398 nucleotides) under uncultured bacterium. Its description in RNAcentral is "partial 16S ribosomal RNA". It matches the Rfam family "Bacterial small subunit ribosomal RNA", at positions 523 to 918 of the family's 1533-position model. The record is from RNAcentral.
AUACGUAGGGUGCGAGCGUUGUCCGGAAUUACUGGGCGUAAAGAGCUCGUAGGUGGUUUGUCGCGUCGUCUGUGAAAUUCCGGGGCUUAACUCCGGGCGUGCAGGCGAUACGGGCAUAACUUGAGUACUGUAGGGGAGACUGGAAUUCCUGGUGUAGCGGUGAAAUGCGCAGAUAUCAGGAGGAACACCGGUGGCGAAGACGGGUCUCUGGGCAGUAACUGACGCUGAGGAGCGAAAGCAUGGGUAGCGAACAGGAUUAGAUACCCUGGUAGUCCAUGCCGUAAACGGUGGGCGCUAGGUGUAGGGGUCUUCCACGACUUCUGUGCCGUAGCUAACGCAUUAAGCGCCCCGCCUGGGGAGUACGGCCGCAAGGCUAAAACGCAAAUGAAUUGACGGGG